CCUGGCUUAUGCUUCGUAACUCAUUGGCCCGGAAUGGUGUUGCACUAGGAUCCUCAUACCAAGUUUAAUUUCCUUCACGAGUUGAGUUGACAAAAGAUCACAGAUACUAAGCCCUGGAAUUACCUAAGAUAUUGCCCUCUGCGCUCGGCAAACGAAAUCCAACCGAAGACCCUUCAGAAAAGAAGUACAUGUUGGUUUACACUCAGAAAUCCAUUUUGCACAGGGCAGGCACUUGUACAUUGGGAAGCCCUGAAUGACAGGCAGUUCUGCCAGCUCCUGCAUGAGAAAAAG
This is a non-coding RNA of Pelobates cultripes (western spadefoot toad), 291 nucleotides long. NCBI's taxonomy places the organism in Eukaryota, Metazoa, Chordata, Amphibia, Anura, Pelobatidae. The record is from the annotation of a GenBank genome assembly.